Girardinichthys multiradiatus is the source of this 313-nucleotide long non-coding RNA. RefSeq lists it as uncharacterized. NCBI's taxonomy places the organism in Eukaryota, Metazoa, Chordata, Actinopteri, Cyprinodontiformes, Goodeidae. The transcript has 3 exons. The record is from RefSeq and is a predicted model, not a curated record.
AGAACACCUAAUCUUCUGAUUAUGGUCACCAUCAUGUUUUGGUUUCUGUACUUGACUACUACAUGACAUUGAGAAGAACUGAUGUAUUGGAAACUGUAAAUGGCAGCUUUACUAUUCCUGACGUGAACUGAGCGACUCCUGCCACGGUGAAGUAAACUUUACUGUGUACUCUUCGCCUUCACUCCUUGGUCCCUCGCAGAAAGCCAGAAGAAACCCCCGUUGUACUUUGCCACAAGCCAGAUAGGUCAAAGCAAACAUGAAGAAGGUGCUCUGGUCAGAUACUAAAAUUAAACUUUUUAGCCCACAUACAAAA